This 553-nucleotide long non-coding RNA is filed under the name Actinidia chinensis (golden kiwifruit). RNAcentral's name for it is "long non-coding RNA (ACHI_LNC001694)". The record is from RNAcentral. Lineage: Eukaryota; Viridiplantae; Streptophyta; Magnoliopsida; Ericales; Actinidiaceae.
CAUUCUAAAAGAAUAAGGAAGUUUUACAAAAACCCAAAAAUAACACCAAGAUAUUUUGAAAAUUUCUAACACAUCUAUGUCCAAUUAAAGGACGUGACUGAAUCUCGUGGAGAUCAGCAUGCUAGGCUUCACGCAGCUGCUACCACCUGCCCCUCCGCCGCCACCAUUUCCAGAAGGCUACACCCCACCUCCAACUGCAGGAGAGAAUGGCUCUGAUUCCCCGCCAGCAAUAGAGUCCCAAGUUCCUUCUGUUGAUCCAAUUAUAGACCAAGGCCUCCCUAAGAGAAUGAAAAUUUAAAGAUACCGACGUUUUUUGGCUUCUCUAAACGGCUUUUUUACGUACAAAGCUGACUCUUCUUCCCCCAACAGAAGGCAGAAUUCGUCAUUAAAAUUAUUAAUUUUAAAUCUCCGGCUUUGUAAUUUCAAAUUUUGUGUUUGUAGUCCCGAUUGUAAUUCAAUAUUGUUCAGUUGUCAUUUGAGCUGUAACUUGCAGGCUUGCAGUGGUUUUUUCUGUGAGGUUAUAUAGAUGGGUAAACUACACUUUGCACCCCUG